GAUGAACGCUGACAGAAUGCUUAACACAUGCAAGUCAACUGUGGCGGACGGGUGAGUAACGCGUAAAGAACUUGCCUCACAGAUAGGGACCACCUUUGGAAACGAAUGCUAAUACCUGAUACUGUGAGAGAGCUUUGCGUCCCAUUAGCUAUUUGGAGAGGUAACGGCUCAUCAAGGCGAUGAUGGGUGGCCGGCCUGAGAGGGUGAUCGGCCACAAGGGGAUUGAGACACGGCCCUUACUCCGACUGGAGGAAGCAGUGGUGAAUAUUGGACAAUGGGCCAAAGUCUGAUCCAGCAAUUCGGGGUGCACGAUGAAGUUUUCGGAAGGUAAAGUGCUUUCAUUUGGGAAGCGGUACCAACAGAAGAAGUGACGGCUAAAUACGUGCCAGCAGCCGCGGUAAUUC
RNAcentral lists this ribosomal RNA (404 nucleotides) under uncultured bacterium. RNAcentral's name for it is "partial 16S ribosomal RNA". It matches the Rfam family "Bacterial small subunit ribosomal RNA", at positions 28 to 526 of the family's 1533-position model. The record is from RNAcentral.